CCUCGUCUCUACUAAAAACACAAAAUUAUCCGGGCAUGGUGGCACAUGCUUGUAAUCCCAGCUACUCAGAAAGGCUGAGGCAGGAGAAUCACUUGAACCCAGGAGGCAGAGGUUGUGGUGAGCCGAGAUGGAGCCAUUGCAUUCCAGCCUGAGCAACAAGAGUGAAAAAAAAAAGAAAAAAGCUCAAUUAUGUGUCUCAAAAAAAAAAAAAAAGAAAGAAAAGAGCUAAAUUAUGUGGUGCUUUGGAAGCUGGGACCACAUGGACUCUUAAGAGGGAUGGCACCUUCUAAGAGGUUCCAAGGGCGGAAACAAGGGGCAGUUCCACUGGGUUUCAGACACAGAGAUCCCAGCCUGGAUUGUCGUGGAGGAUGAAGCUGCUCCAUCUUGGAUGCUGAUCCGCCAUGUUGUCCUCUGGUUAACCCCUGUUCUGGAAUGCCUCCUCUAAGAUUGCCACUUUAUCUACUGUGACCUUAAAUCCUGCUCUUAGGUAGAUUCACAUAGCAUUCUGCGCCUUUCCCUGAGGGGUUGACUUCAGUGGUGCCACACAUUUCUACUGAGGCAUGUGUACCUUUUGCAUCAGGUAUAUCAGCCCUGGGACUCGGGGAUAACUGACUGACGGCUGCCUGGCUUCUGUUUCUAAGUUGCUAUUAAAUGUUUCUUUCUGAGAAACUGGA
RNAcentral lists this long non-coding RNA (674 nucleotides) under Homo sapiens (human). RNAcentral describes it as "novel transcript". The record is from RNAcentral. Lineage: Eukaryota; Metazoa; Chordata; Mammalia; Primates; Hominidae.